RNAcentral lists this transfer RNA (67 nucleotides) under Dolichoris vasculosae. RNAcentral describes it as "tRNA-Ala". The record is from RNAcentral. Lineage: Eukaryota; Metazoa; Arthropoda; Insecta; Hymenoptera; Agaonidae.
AGAAAUAUAGUUUAAUUACAAUAUUUAUAUUGCAUAUGAAUGAUGAAAAAUUUUUUUUCUAUUUUUA